RNAcentral lists this transfer RNA (113 nucleotides) under Microbacterium terrae. RNAcentral describes it as "tRNA-Ser". The record is from RNAcentral. Lineage: Bacteria; Bacillati; Actinomycetota; Actinomycetes; Micrococcales; Microbacteriaceae.
GGGACUCCGCGGCAGGAGGGCAAUCGCCCUGGACACGCCCUGGAGUGCUGAAUCUACACUGCUAAGGUGGAGUCCUCGCAAGGGGACCGAGGGUUCAAAUCCCUCCGUCUCCG